AGAGUUUGAUCCUGGCUCAGAUUGAACGCUGGCGGCGUGCUUAACACAUGCAAGUCGUGCGAGAAGGGGGACUUCGGUCCCUGAGUAGAGCGGCGCACGGGUGAGUAACGCGUGGAUAAUCUCCCCAGAAGUUCGGGAUAACGGCGGGAAACUGCCGCUAAUACCGGAUACGCUCCAAUUUCGGUUGGGGGAAAGGCGGCCUCUGUUUACAAGCUGUCGCUUCUGGAUGAGUCCGCGUCCCAUUAGCUUGUUGGUGGGGUAAUGGCCUACCAAGGCUACGAUGGGUAGCUGGUCUGAGAGGAUGAUCAGCCACACUGGAACUGAAACACGGUCCAGACUCCUACGGGAGGCAGCAGUGGGGAAUAUUGCGCAAUGGGGGAAACCCUGA
Molecule: ribosomal RNA, 388 nt
Filed under: uncultured bacterium
Lineage: Bacteria
Description: bacterial SSU rRNA
Rfam family: Bacterial small subunit ribosomal RNA
Source: RNAcentral